AUUGAACGCUGGCGGCAUGCCUUACACAUGCAAGUCGAACGGCAGCGGGGGAGAAGCUUGCUUUUCCUGCCGGCGAGUGGCGAACGGGUGAGUAAUACAUCGGAACGUGCCCUGUAGUGGGGGAUAACUAGUCGAAAGAUUAGCUAAUACCGCAUACGACCUGAGGGUGAAAGUGGGGGACCGCAAGGCCUCAUGCUAUAGGAGCGGCCGAUGUCUGAUUAGCUAGUUGGUGGGGUAAAGGCAUACCAAGGCGACGAUCAGUAGCUGGUCUGAGAGGACGAUCAGCCACACUGGGACUGAGACACGGCCCAGACUCCUACGGGAGGCAGCAGUGGGGAAUUUUGGACAAUGGGCGAAAGCCUGAUCCAGCAAUGCCGCGUGUGUGAAGAAGGCCUUCGGGUUGUAAAGCACUUUUGUCCGGAAAGAAAUGGCUCUGGUUAAUACCUGGGGUCGAUGACGGUACCGGAAGAAUAAGGACCGGCUAACUACGUGCCAGCAGCCGCAGUAA
Molecule: ribosomal RNA, 508 nt
Filed under: uncultured bacterium
Lineage: Bacteria
Description: partial 16S ribosomal RNA
Rfam family: Bacterial small subunit ribosomal RNA
Source: RNAcentral